AUGACAGCAUCUCUUUUGUACCUCACAGGUACACUUAGAAAGCAACUGCCUUAAGCACCUGGAGGGGACAAGGCCCAGGUAAGCAGCACUCAGGAUCAUACAGCAGCAGCAAGGGGAGUGCUGAGAGCUUUCUGGACACCUACAGCCUACAAUGGGAGAGGGGAGCAGCCUGCAGGAAGCUUCAGGCACCUGAGCACAGCCUUUGUGACUGUAAUACCACUGCUGUGAGGUGGAGAAAACCCAAAUAGCAAGUUAAAACCCCAGUGAGCAAGUGUGUAAAGGUUUUACCUGCGGGCUCCAAACCGUGACAUCAUUGUCAUACUGGUUGCGAAACUGGAAUGAACAAAAUAAAACUCAUUAGUAUCCCUAAUAAGCUAACACAGUGCUCCUGGAGGAAACCCUGGUUGUUCCCACAGAAUCCCAGCACUACAGAAUCCUAGAAUCAAUAAGGGAUCUCUGGAAAUCAUCCAUUCCAAGCCCCCUGCCAAGGCAGGGUCGCAGAGCAGUGACACAGGAGCACAUCCAGUUUAUGGCCAUUACUCCUCAUCCUGUGCCAGGGCACCACUGGAAAGGGUCUGGCACCAUGCUCUUAGCCUGCCUUUGAGAUAUUUGUACGCACCAAUGAGAUCCCUCUCAUCCUUCUCUGCCAGACCGAACAGGCCCAGCUCCCGCAGCCUCCUCACAACAGAGAUGCUCCAGACCCCUAAGGAGAUAUCCAUACGCAUCCCCACAGGGCCUCGGAACGCUUUGUCCCAGCACGGAAGCAGGGCCCGCUCCCCGCUCCCGUUCGCUCUCACGCCGGCAGCCAGGCCCAGCCCCGCCCGCGGCCCCGCGUGGCCCGGGAACUGCUUACUCACGGGCCCGCUCCCCGCCGCCCGCUCUCGCGGCUCUCCCGCGCCGGCUGGGCGGGCCGGGCAGGCGGCGGGGGUCCCCUGUCCCGGGCCGAGAGCC
This is a long non-coding RNA of Passer domesticus (house sparrow), 951 nucleotides long. RefSeq lists it as uncharacterized. NCBI's taxonomy places the organism in Eukaryota, Metazoa, Chordata, Aves, Passeriformes, Passeridae. The record is from RefSeq and is a predicted model, not a curated record. The transcript is spliced from 3 exons.